UGCCCCAUGGCCCAGUUGGUUAAGGCGUCCGACUGUUAAGCGCUUUGCGCCAUACAUCGGGAGAUCGAGAGUUCGAAACUCUCUGGGGCAG
Molecule: non-coding RNA, 91 nt
Organism: Panaeolus papilionaceus
Lineage: Eukaryota; Fungi; Basidiomycota; Agaricomycetes; Agaricales
Source: the annotation of a GenBank genome assembly